RNA transcript from Paramacrobiotus metropolitanus, 9428 nucleotides. RefSeq lists it as uncharacterized. The transcript is spliced from 8 exons. The record is from RefSeq and is a predicted model, not a curated record. Lineage: Eukaryota; Metazoa; Tardigrada; Eutardigrada; Parachela; Macrobiotidae.
GGCGACAUGCACAUUCGGCCCUGCAAUUGUCGUCUUGUGCAUUCGCAAGUAUACAGAUAAAUCUGGUGUUGCGCUGCAGAGAUACCGAUGAAACUUGCGGUUGCGAUGCGUUCGAAGAAAAGCUGAGUAUAAGCUGUUGCAACGCAUCCGGCCAUGUAACAGGAGCCCCCAAUGAAAAGUAAUUUGUGGCGCGCUCAUCAAUCAACAAGAAAAAUUAGAAUUAGCAUCUUCCCAAAGUUAUUUUACAUCUUUUAUUGUGUUUUACAUUUUACAUCUUUUAUUGUAUUUCAAGCGGCUUGAACUGCGUCUUCGAAUAACAAACCAAAUAAAAUAAUCGCUGGCGACCUCGCAUUUUGCGAGUAUGUUGACAAGCAUACUGUGAUCUAAAAGGUGCAUCUGCACAAAGAUUUCACCGACGUCGAACACCGGAGACUCGUCGGGCGUAGGGACUCGGUGGACAGCCAACUGUCUAUCCGAUAACCUCCUGACCGCUGUAAGCAGAAUAUUGAUAAACUAGCGGGUUGUGUGGCUUGAUCAAGGAUGUAUCUUUUUUUCACGAACUCGGAAACACACGCAUAUUCGCGCAUCCUCGUUUUGACGAAAUGAGGAUUCAGAAUGAAUUUCUGCCUUGCUGAUAUUCAGAUUGGUAAACAAUAUUGGUAAGCGCCGCGCGCGUACGAUUCAAUCAUCCGAUUCGCGUGAAGACCGCAUGACGGUAGUGCGCGGGUAUAUGAUAUGGAACGAUGUCCAGGAUUUUGCGUUUGACACGGUACGUAGUUACCGGGUACUGGAUAUGGAUAUAAAUAUCGUCUCGUGAAGGUUUUUGCUCUUCCUUCACUUUUCGGGUAUUGCUAAAGUCUGUGACUGUGAAUGGGUGGGAGUUGGGACUGUGAGUCUACGUGACUGGUACCUUAUGUGACUGUGACCGUCUGUGACUGUGUUGCACUCGGCCUGGGACCGAUUGGGACUGUGACCCUUUGGGAGUGGGACUAGUGGUUGUAGGAACCCGCCAACCGACUGACGGCCGACAAUUCACCGCAAACAAAUAUGUGCACUUAGUUUUACAGGUUUUCCGAAUUUUCCUCUCUGCUUUCAUGUUUUUCUUGUGUUCCUAGUGAUUUCUUCUUAUGUUUUCAUAGGUUUCGUAUGUUUGCUUAUGUGGUAUAUGUACAGCAGUGGACUGUACAGUGUCGUUGUACUCUAUACCUAGCAACCGAUAUACAAGUGCUUAUUGUCUUACACAAUUAUUGUUAUUAGUUGUUAGUCGUACUAGCCGCGAGUUGGUUAAUAAAAUAUAUUAACCGCUAAGUACACCACAGCUAAGGUUUUAAAUUUUUAAUACUUAUGUUUUGGUUAUAAUGACUUAAUUUAAUGCAGUUCCCCUAAUUUUCGGUUUAUGAGGUUUUUUCGUUUUUACGGGGUUGGAAAGCCUAGUAAAAUUUUGCCCAGUAGGUGGAAUCCCUGUUCGUAGAGAUCGCCUUGCGACGAAUUGGCUCUGCGUCGAAACGACGCCACGACGAAAUGUCUCCCAUCGGGAUGCCCUGCCGGCCAACUGUCCCGCGACGAAAUUUCGCGCGACGAGGAUAUAAGAAUCGGUAGUCGCGUUUUGUGGAUCAUGCCACUACGCAAAGGCCAAAACGGAAAAUCACAGGAAAAGUUGUCGCGCAACAUUCGGGUAGGUGCGUUUUCCUAUAGUCUACUGCAGUAUGACUUUUCGUUGCUGGUAAACAUAGCAAAAGCUGUGAACGUAGAAACGUGAAGAUGGGAUAGUUAGACGGACCUUGACUGAUCAGCAAAUUGUAAUAUUUGAUGAGGAAGUAAACUUAAGAGGGUCGCCGACUCGCCGGCGGCCGCAUUUGAACGCAAAUUAUCUGCACGUACCGUCUGAAUUGAUUUUAUUGAGAAAUUGAUAUAAACGUCAUUGGAUAGCGCUUUUUUAACGGAAAUACCAAAAAUUCCAUUUGCCAACUGUCGUUUUUCUGAUUCCUUUUAAACCGGCAUCUCAAAAAGUCGUUUUAUUUUGUAUACGUAAUUGGUACAUAAGUACAUACGUACGUACAUAAGUACCGAUGGCACCUACAACUAGUUAUUAAAAACAACAAAAACAUUUUGAAAAAUUGAUACUUCCUCGUUAAAUAACUACAUGCCAAAAAAUAAUUCAGAAAAUUCAUUUUAUCAUAUUUAUGAAUUAUGUAGCAAAAAUAAAAAGCCGGAAAUGCCGACAAAAUAGAUAAAUAAAAAAUAAAUUUGUUUUCAGUUAGAAAUUGUCUUAUGUAAGAAAACCAAAGAAAAACUGUUUAAUGACUUGAUAAAGGAGGCACUUCAUCUUUAACGCUCGGUAAAAAGUACAGCGGAGCGCUAAUAAAAAAAUCAAACUUAAAAAUCAAAACAACCAAAAUCCGAAAUCUUCGAUUGCGACAGCCGCGGUAAAGUGUGUUCUGCCAUGAACAACAGCAUAAUAAAACUGAAAAUCUUGCCAAAAGUCAUUUCUCUCGUUUUUUCAGAAACUUGGCGUAAAAAAGUUUUUUCAUUCUUUUUAUUUGCUACUGAGUGCUUUGGUGAACGGUCAACAUGGACUUUGUUUUGUAACUUCUGUUCGUUUAAGGGAACUUUUUGAAGUAAAUGCCAUUCCAUCUUUCUCGCAUAUUUUCCAAUACUGCCCAUGUAUUCUGCGGUGCCAUGCAUCUGACAGAGUCGAUAAGCCCGAGGAAUUGGUGGCACUGCCGCCACUGCGUGGAUCCCAAACUCUGCCAGCGCAAUUUAUCUGGUAAUCUGUGUACAACUGUCACCACAUAUUAAUCAUGUCGAGUGUACAGAGACCACCUACGAGAAAUUUUAAAAAUCAUCACCCAAGAUAAUCCGGCCAUAGAACGGCAGCAAUUAGGAAAAUCAGUCGCGAUAUGCAGAUGUUGAAAGAUGUCGAAAGGGAUGAGAACAGCUCGGUGCGUUUUGAAACAUAUUUUUUUAUUAGGCAAUCGCUUUCGUUUUAUUCGGCAAUCCCCAUCAGAAUAUCAGAAAAUGCCGAUGCGAACGUACUACUUCGCCGUCAAAGUUUUAACAGUAAAAGAAGUGCGAAAAAUAAUUUAGUUCGACUACAGUUAACGUGUUUAACUGGUACAUGUUUAACCCGUUCCCGACCAUCCCUGUCAAAUGGCAGGGUGGCGGACUUUAUUCCCCUUCCAGCUCAUAAUGGAAGAAACUUAUGUUCAAUGAUUUUAUUUCACAGCAGGGAUGUUGCUGGCUGUUGAAAAAAAUUCGACCAUCAAAUGAAACCCGUAUAGGGCACACGACCAUUGACCAAAGAUGACCGAAAUUGCACUUUUUGGGUUCGUAGAGGUCUUGGCUGCUCCUGCAGCUUUCCCAUUACCCGAUAAUUUACAGAUAAAUCACUCAAAGAGACCCGGUGGCUGACAUUACAAAAGCACCAAAUGUUUUGAAAAAUAACUGGACAUUGGGCAAACAGGGUCAUUCAAAAAUUUCCUGCCAAGUUUGACAGGAAUGGGCAUGGCGCUACUUUAACAAUAAAACUAUAAAUUCUUUAUAAAAUCUCAGAUACUUGGUAAAAUGUCCCACAAGGAAUCAAAAAAUCAGACAAAAACAGUGCAAAAAUGCCUUUUGCUUCGGUGGUCAUCAAACUGACCAAUGGUCAACAACAGAAAAAUUUCCAAAAUUCAUGUUUUUUGUCGGAAAAUUUAGGCUGUUACUUUCAAAUAAAUUGUGAAAUGUAAGAAUAAAUGUGACAUUGCAAAACUGAAGCUGUUUGAUAUCUUUUUUCAUCACCGUUCUGUGGGUUGCUCUGAAUAGCCCUAAACAUAACAAAGAACUGCAUGAUGGUCUUCACCCAGUUCAGGAUAUGAUGUAAUGGCAUGAUUUGCAUCACUGGGAGCGUAAAAUUAUAUGAAAUGUAUCUACAUACUACCGUUUUAAUUCUGUGCAACAUCUCCACAUUCUAUGAGUUGCAUCUUGCAGUCAGUUGUUGUGGUGUAAAUGCGUGAUAGCGGAAAUGACCUUGCCGGUAGUGCCGGUGCCGAUGUGCUUUACAGGGUUUAAUGCAAGUUAUGCAAUAAGGGAAGCUAUCGCCGAAUUUUUAGGGGCAGGCAACUUUUAGACUGCAUAAUUUACUUAUAGUUCAGUAGUUGUACCAUCUAAAAAAUUAAAAAGUUCACUAAAAGUUAAAUUAAAGCAGGAAACGGCAAAUAAGUACAUAUGUACUGCUGUUACUGUUGCAGUGUAUCAUGCAGUAUAACGGGAGUAUAACUGACAAAAACCGCAUAUCUAAUUGUGCCGACAUAUUCUGUUGUUUUUGUGUGACCUAGGGUCAUUUUGUAUUGUCCUUAUAUAAACAAAGUGGAUUUUGCACCUUUGUUAGCCUAUGGCCGCUCGGAAACAUAUUUUCGUGCAAUUUUACCGUUUCUUGACCACUGGUCAUUUCGAUGACCAUAACAGUAUCUGACAAAUGUAGAUCUUGUCAAAACGGUUUUUUUAAGUAGUCGUGCUUCUCAGUGCGAUCUCCCCAUCGUUUCCCAUAAAUUCCGGCGUUUUACCUGCCAAAUGGCAUGAUGCCCAUCCCUGUCAGUUUGGCAGGCUAUCGCCCUGCUUGACCUAUGGCCAAGAAAAUUCCCAAAAAAAUAAUUUUUCUUGAUUGAAUUAUUUGAGGAAGACCCACAAAUUUUUAGAUUGGUAUUCAUGUUCCUUCUGGUAGCUGACUUUGGUGGGUUAAAAUGAACGACAAAAUUUUAAAAAUUAAAGAAACCUGGUGGAAAGUGGAAACGUGAUUCAGUGUAAGAACUUCCUUCGUGUUAAUUUACGUUAUCAUGCAAAAUAUGCACUGGAUCGGUUCAUAAUGAGAUUUUCGGUACAUCUCUGUGCGUUUAUAAACCUUUUGGGAUUUUUCUCAUCUGUAAAUCUACAACCGGAUGUUGCGCACAAACGGUUUUCACGCCAAUGUAUAGAAACCUUUCGGCUUAAAACUUCAUAAAAAAGCCAAGAAAGUGUUUUAGAGUGAGCGAAAGCCAAAGUUUUGGUGCAUGCACUCGAAUUAAGUACCAUGUUCCGGCACAUUUUCCUUACAAGCUAAUUAUUUCCACUGAGUUAUUCGCACAACUACGAGAUGCAUAUGGUUUUAUAGAGAAAAAUCAGCUCUGUUAAGUAGUAUUUUUUAUAGCGGGGUGGUUUUUAUACUUAUCGUUUAAAAAGCAUCUAAAGUUAGUAUUGCAAAUCGUCCAGUGACGUGUCUGUGCGCACUUCAAAGAUGCCGCCCAUCGCGCAUCCGAGAUACCGAUCUUCUGCAGCGCUGAACGCGGAUAUGCUGCAUGGCGUGGUUAUCAGCUCGGCAGAUCAUAUCCGGAUUCAGUGGGAGCUGGUAUACGGUAUGCUGUAUAUUCUGAGCACUGAACACCUGAACGCGGUGUAAUUUUUAUUUGUGAUUCUAAAAAUUAGCAAACUUAUAAUUUUAGGAUUUAGAACCUUAAAUGCACGUGAAAAUAUCUACAAUCUAUUUUGUGAGCUCUUUGUAAACUCAAAACUAACGCAAAUAAAAAAUUCUUUAUCGCUAACGUAGAUGUCGUACAGGCAGGCCAGCGCUCAAUUUUCACUGAAGAUCGGUAUCUCGGAUGCGUGAUGGGCGGCACCUUUGAAGUGCGCACAGAGACGUCACUCGACGAUUUGCAAUACUAACUUUAGAUGCUUUUUAAACGAUAAGUAUAAAAGCCACCCCGCUAUAAAAAAUACUACUUAAAAGAGCUGAUUUUUCUCUACAAAACGAUAUGGGUCUGGUAUCUGGGCGAAUAACUCAAUGGAAAUAAUUAGCUUGUUAAUAUUAAUGAACAUUAGUGUGUGCCACUGUGUGGUUAUCAGGAUUUUACGUAUGUUUUCUGAGUUAGAGAGACAAUUUUGUAACCGAAUGCUCGGUGCUUCAAUACUAAUCCAAAAUCAAUCGCAGAUCCGUGCAUCCAGGACAGUCAAUACUGAUCUGCGUGAAUGUUGGGUUCCUGCAAAUUUUAUUUUUCUGAACCCCAUCCCGGAAGUCGGAAGAUGACACAUUUUGCUCUAUGCAGUCAGCUGUCAUGUACUUCCGUAAAAGUACGCAGUUCAUUCCGUUCUUCCUGGAACUAGAAGGGACGAACAACCCAGCACAGCAUGUUUGAGAUGAGUAUACACGCCAAAAGCGAAAAAUGGUGGCGAUAUCUAUCUGCUAUAUCGCCAAGGAAAAUAAUUAAUCAGGAUAGCAACAGGUUACGGUACUCGGUGUCAUCUCUAAUUGGGUACUUAGUCACACUUAAGAAUAUCAGCCAAAGGUAUAUAAGCCGACGCAGUCGGGUAUGAAAUUUUAUUAAACGUAACAUAUGGUAAUAUGGCAUACCGUGUACGAAUUACAUAAUAUAGCGUGUACAUUAAUUGGCUAGUACCUCACUACUCGUAUUACCACACUAUCUCCACAAGUCCUGUCGCAUCUCCACACGGACCAACACGGAAAUGGAAACCUUCUUAUCUUUGGGCUUUCUCAUGGGAUUGGCGACCCUUGCGUACGGAGCAGGCGAGAGCAAAGGUAAGCUGCUGGAAGUCAAAUCCGUCGUCAUUGACUGUGAUCAAGAGAUCACAUACAUCGCCAACAAAUCGGCGGACGAGUGCGGUAGGAAAUGCCAGAAAGACGCCACCUGCCGCAUGGCAUCCUACAACAUGCGGGACAGAGAAUGUGGUCUCGUUCCAUUGAAUUUCGACUGCCUUUUCGGUACAUCCGGCUUUGACGAUUACGAAGUCCUUGGAUUUACCACUAAAACAUUCAUCAAACGCGACAACGCCUACCUGGAUACGGAGCUGCUGAGGGAUAAGAAAGGUCGAGUGGUGCUGCAGGGCGCCCAUGGUAAACGGUCGGUGAUAUCCGCUGAUAAAUGUAAAUCUCUGUGCGAUGUCCAUCCCAACUGUCAAGCGGCAUAUUACACGGAUACCGUGGGGAAGUCCGGUUGCCAACUGAUGGCCCAAGCCGAACCGGUUUACCCAGUUACCAACCCGACUUCGACGAGCAUUGUGUUCAUCGCCGUGUAAGGCCGGCAUUUGAGGGAGUCAGGUGGAUGGAUGAUAAUAAUAAACAUUUAAUAUGCUAAUCUGGCCAUAGCCUGGUAGCAGUACGUCCGGCUGUAAGAUUGUAGAAACGGUUCCCAAUUUGGUUGGGUAGCUUCUAUCUCUUAAAAUUUUGAAUCAAAGCAAUGAAGUACUGAAUUUUUCAGAAUUAACAAAACAGAUUGUCAGUAACGUCUGGUCGGAUAUCUUCAUUUACACGAGCUGCAUAAUGGCUGUACCGGCCGCAGCUCGAUCAUAAUUAUAACGCUCACACCGCUGUUGAAUUGCUGCUUAACAAAAUUUAAUUUUCGAUCACUUUUUCGUGGCUUGGAUGCAAAAUGGUAGCGUCAUAUUAAUAAGCGAAAUAUUUUCUGAGCGGAACUUCCACGCAGGUAGUUGUACACAUGCGUCGCACUGCACUACGGCAAACCAACAUUUUUCAGUGCCUGGCACAAGGUGUUUUACCACGUUUUGGUAAAUUUGAGAAGUCUUGCGUUCAACAAGUGAACAAUCCACAAAAGUAGAACGGCUGAAAAAAUUAUUUACAAGACUGCACUACUAGCUGAACUGAUUGAAACGGUCAUCGAGGGUCAACGUACAAACUUCUGCUUCCCAGAACUCAGUUCAAAAAUACUGACACCUUACGUUACUCUGUAAAACAGUUUCACUUUUGAAAUUCGCCAGGACUGUGUACCAAAAGUAACACAGUUUUAGCUCAUAUUCGGCUUAAUAAAUUACUACAGAGUAGAUUUUCUAUACCACGGCAUUUUUGUACCCAGAACAUAAUACGGGAAUUAAAAAGGUAUUUUGUACCGUAUACACAUUACACUAUACAUACAUUAGUAGGGCAUCUGCAUAUUAUACGGCACUGCUGGAAUAUCCAUGGAAUACUUAUUGGACAUCGCAAAAUUAACAGAAGCAAGUGCAGCAAUACUUCGCAAGAGUGCCGGUUCGAAAAUCUUCUCAUUUUGUUUUGCUCAUUGAUAUGUGACACCAGCAUUUGCGCAUAACAUGCGCAGUUACAAUAAGUUUAUUUGGCAGACUACAAGCCGCAUCAGUCAACUCUUUAAAUUGGAUGUAUCUUACAGACAACUGGAAUUUCUUUGGCUUGUUGGGAAACAUUUUACCUUUCUUUUGGCUUAGUUUUAUGAGAUUACACUACGCGGCGACGUACACAGUGCUCAUAUAGGAUGGUCUGGGAAUUUGGUGGACUGCACCGGCUUUCGCCAGCAGUUUGCAACUGGACUGUGCCAUGGCGGUCGUAUAAUCCGCUGCUUUACAGGUGGGAUGGAUAUCGCACAGGGAUUUGCAACUAUCAGCCGGUAUCCCAUUGCCGCUGAGGAGCACCUUUUCACCUUUCUUAUUCUUCAGCUCUUCGGGAUUUUCCACAUAUGCGUUGUCGUGUUUGGUUAAUUUCUUGUAGGCAAAUCCAGUUAGCUCGCAAUUGUCGAAAUCUGCUCCACUGAAAGUGUAAUCUGUAGUUGGCGGGAUCAGUUGGCACUUUUUGUCAACUGACCCCGCCAAGGUUAACAAUUAAAUUUAGCUCACCCAUCAUAUCCGAAUACGAAAUUUAUACUUGUAUUGUUUUAAUUAUGAAGCCCGUAAUAACAUAUUUUGACGUUUACUUACGCUAUCACUUGCUCCGUUUCCCAGGGUAGCUGUAAUUAUAUGCAAAGUUAGUAUAUUAGUCGAAUCGUGAAAGACGUCGUGCACGAGGAUUUUUUCCGUUGAACUAGAGCGGAAGUUCGGGCCAAAUUAACGAAAACGUAACUUUCUUGACCUUUUAUCAAAUGCAACAAAAUUAUCAGAACGAAGCGGUCGCCUUACCGGGUAUUAGCGGGUAUACCUAUAAUGGAUAUACAGUUAUACUAUAUUACUGAAUAUCUUACGGUUUACGCGAAUUUUGUUUGAGCCUGCGUCGGCUUAUAGAACUCUGGUUAAUGUUAAUUUUUCACGUAAUAACUCCAUUACUAAUGUUGACACCGAGUAUCCUAACCUGUUGCUAACCUGAUUGCUUAAUUAAUUCAUUUCUCGCUGCAGACAUCGAAACUAUUUCGCACUGAGACAUUACUUGAGGCACUUUUGCAUUGCGAAAAUGCUGUAUUUUGUUGUUUGUCCCAUCCGGUUCCAGGCUCCAGCUGUAAGGAAACGAUGAAUCGGUUUUGCAUAUUAGUGUAAGGGCGGGACGCCCCGCCCUCCUGAGUAGCUAUUCGCUGUUUCUGGGGAUUUCCACCCCGCACAUUGCUGCGCUGUUUUGACGGAUCUGCAGCACAGUUGCACUGGCUGCAGAAUCCUUCCUCUUUAGUCUGGUGUUGCUGCGCCAUGGUGCGCAUUAGAUUCGGCAAUAAAGCCUCAUCCGGGUUCACGCU